Molecule: ribosomal RNA, 685 nt
Filed under: Escherichia coli
Lineage: Bacteria; Pseudomonadati; Pseudomonadota; Gammaproteobacteria; Enterobacterales; Enterobacteriaceae
Also listed under: 1 other name
Description: partial 23S ribosomal RNA
Rfam family: Bacterial large subunit ribosomal RNA
Source: RNAcentral
UAAUCCGGGUUGCGGACAGUGUCUGGUGGGUAGUUUGACUGGGGCGGUCUCCUCCUAAAGAGUAACGGAGGAGCACGAAGGUUGGCUAAUCCUGGUCGGACAUCAGGAGGUUAGUGCAAUGGCAUAAGCCAGCUUGACUGCGAGCGUGACGGCGCGAGCAGGUGCGAAAGCAGGUCAUAGUGAUCCGGUGGUUCUGAAUGGAAGGGCCAUCGCUCAACGGAUAAAAGGUACUCCGGGGAUAACAGGCUGAUACCGCCCAAGAGUUCAUAUCGACGGCGGUGUUUGGCACCUCGAUGUCGGCUCAUCACAUCCUGGGGCUGAAGUAGGUCCCAAGGGUAUGGCUGUUCGCCAUUUAAAGUGGUACGCGAGCUGGGUUUAGAACGUCGUGAGACAGUUCGGUCCCUAUCUGCCGUGGGCGCUGGAGAACUGAGGGGGGCUGCUCCUAGUACGAGAGGACCGGAGUGGACGCAUCACUGGUGUUCGGGUUGUCAUGCCAAUGGCACUGCCCGGUAGCUAAAUGCGGAAGAGAUAAGUGCUGAAAGCAUCUAAGCACGAAACUUGCCCCGAGAUGAGUUCUCCCUGAGACUUAGAGUCUCCUGAAGGAACGUUGAAGACGACGACGUUGAUAGGCCGGGUGUGUAAGCGCAGCGAUGCGUUGAGCUAACCGGUACUAAUGAACCGUGAG